UUUUGCUAUAUUUUUAGCUCCUGAAAUGGAUUUGAGAAUGCCAACUGUAAUUCUUUUCAUUAUGAUUUGUUUGUUUCUACAAUGGGAUAGACUUUAAUGAUACAUAUUCUAGGAAAUUAUUUUUCUUGUCACCUAUGGACAAAAGAAAAAGCCAAUUAAACAGUCAAUUCCUUAUUGCCCUUUCUAAAAGGCAGUCCUUCUUCAAUUUAUCUGAAGCUUGUUUUUGUUUUCCAUUUUCACAUACUUCUAGUUGAGGGAUUCUUAAUCUGGGAUCUGGAGAUCCUUAAAAUAUCCAUGGAGAGAUUUCAAGAUAAACGGAGGUGGAGUUAAAAUGGUGGCUUAAAGACAGCAACAGUUCAGACCUCUGCAAACCCUUCCUCACCAAUCAAAAACAAUGCUUCAAGGUGCCUGAAAACCAAAUGUAACAACAGGACAGAGCUAGGGAACUCUCCUCCUGGACCAAACUUAAAAGGAUCUUGGCCUGGGACUGCUGCUGGAGCUACAACUUGGACCUGGGACUCUGGAUCUUGGACUGCUGCUAGUAAGACUGCUCCUGGAUCUUCUCCCUUUGGAGCUACUGCUUGGGGAUCUCCAGUGAUAAGUGGGGGACCACAAGUAUACAAAUGUGAUAAGUACUAUUGUGCUAUAAGUAACAAAGAGAUGAAUGUCUUCAAAGAGAUAUGA
RNAcentral lists this long non-coding RNA (684 nucleotides) under Monodelphis domestica (gray short-tailed opossum). RNAcentral describes it as "lncRNA (ENSMODG00000048284.1)". Lineage: Eukaryota; Metazoa; Chordata; Mammalia; Didelphimorphia; Didelphidae. The record is from RNAcentral.